This 1348-nucleotide long non-coding RNA is filed under the name Chrysolophus pictus (golden pheasant). RNAcentral describes it as "lncRNA (ENSCPIG00010011518.1)". Lineage: Eukaryota; Metazoa; Chordata; Aves; Galliformes; Phasianidae. The record is from RNAcentral.
GGUGUGUGUGGAAACACCUUAUUUGGCUCACCUGGGUUUAUUGAUAGGCUGAAACUGGUAACAAAGGUCCUCUUGGAAGGGCUGCCUUCUAUCAGAGCAGCGGAUUCACCUGUUCCUCAGCCUUUUUAUUUCCCCCGAUGGACAAAAUUCUCAAAAAGAUUUCCCAAAGGGUCUCGAUGCCAUUCAGGAAGAGCUGCAGGAAGUUGGGCGCAGGUUCAGAAGUGUGACCUACCACAACAGGCAGGUGUUUGGCCCUUUCUACUCAGCAAUUCUCAAGAAAGUGCUUUUCCCAGAGGCAGAACCAGAUUCAGGAAGAGAUUCUAUGUGAUCAUCUUUGCUAUGUACCACACAGGAGGACAAGGGUGGAACACAUUCUCCAACAAUUUCUCAAAUCAUGCUUCAGCUUGUAAAAAAAAUCAGACAAACCCAUCUAGGCAGCACAGCUACUGGGAAGUGACUCUUAGCAUGUCAAUAUCUGAAUAAACCUCUCAACUGCAAAAGGCAACGGCUUUCUUGUCCCACCAAAAAACUGCCACUAUUUAGCAGGGAAGGAAAUGGGAGGUGGAGGUUAUAAAACUGCAAUGAAAUUUCAGGUUUUUUCUUUAUUUUUUCCCUAAUUCAAGGUGUUAAUUCUGCGGUGGGUCUGUUGCCUGCUCUGCUGAAAUGUUAGGCACAGUCCAGGGACGCAGUUUGGAUUUGAUAAAGCCAUAUGGUAUUUAAGAUCAUUAAAACUGCUCAAUAUAUUUCAGUGUUAGCUUGAAAACCUGACUUACUGAGUUAUUAGAUGGAACAUAUGGUAUAAAUUUAGCAGCCCCCGAUGUAUUUAGUAUUUCACAUCAGCCAGAUUUUAUUUGACACAAAACCCUGAACUUUAACCUGUAUUUAAAUGCCUGGAUUUCUUGCUCUAAUUUUAUAUAGUGAAAACGUCCUACUUCUUGGUAUGCCAAAAAUCCUUGCUGGUAAAUACUAUAUACAAUGGCUGCCCAAACUGUUACUGUUGUUACAUGAAUCGAUGGCUGCUGUGCGGCAGAGCAUUGGUUUGAGUGUUUAUCAUUGCUAAAUCAGGGUCCUGACAGUCCAUCCUUGGUAGAACAGUCCUCGCACAUGUAUGUUAAAAGGCUUAACAUCAGCUUUUCCCAUGGACAAGGUGAUAGCAGACCAUCAUGCUGUAGGUAAGUCUAUCUUUCAAGAACACACAGAUGAGUUUUUAUACAUAAGUAAGUCUGAAAAGAAUUUUGUAUUCGGGAUCAGUAUGAUUAGCUGCAAAAAGAGCAGCCUCAGCCAAAGUGACUGCUGAGCAGCCAGCAUUCUGCAUCUAGAAUGCCACACACGUUAGGAUGGCACAUAU